Molecule: ribosomal RNA, 990 nt
Filed under: uncultured bacterium
Lineage: Bacteria
Description: bacterial SSU rRNA
Rfam family: Bacterial small subunit ribosomal RNA
Source: RNAcentral
GAAGGGGUUAAUUGGGAAUUUACUGGGGCGUAAAAGCGCAAUGCAAGGUUGGUUUGUUUAAAGUUCAGAAUGUGAAAAGCCCCGGGGGUUCAACCUUCGGAAAUUGCAAUUUGAAAACUGGCAAAAUUAGAGUACUGUAGAGGGGGGGUAGAAUUUCAGGGGUAGCGGUGAAAUGCGUAGAGAUCUGAAGGAAUACCGGUGGCGAAGGGCGGCCCCCCUGGACAGAUACUGACACUCAGAUGCGAAAGCGUGGGGAGCAAACAGGAUUAGAUACCCUGGUAGUCCACGCCGUAAACGAUGUCUACUUGGAGGUUGUGGCCUUGAGCCGUGGCUUUCGGAGCUAACGCGUUAAGUAGACCGCCUGGGGAGUACGGUCGCAAGAUUAAAACUCAAAUGAAUUGACGGGGGCCCGCACAAGCGGUGGAGCAUGUGGUUUAAUUCGAUGCAACGCGAAGAACCUUACCUACUCUUGACAUCUACAGAAGCCAGCGGAGACGCAGGUGUGCCUUCGGGAACUGUAAGACAGGUGCUGCAUGGCUGUCGUCAGCUCGUGUUGUGAAAUGUUGGGUUAAGUCCCGCAACGAGCGCAACCCUUAUCCUUGUUUGCCAGCACUUCGGGUGGGAACUCCAGGGAGACUGCCGGUGAUAAACCGGAGGAAGGUGGGGACGACGUCAAGUCAUCAUGGCCCUUACGAGUAGGGCUACACACGUGCUACAAUGGCGCAUACAGAGGGCGGCCAACUUGCGAAAGUGAGCGAAUCCCAAAAAGUGCGUCGUAGUCCGGAUUGGAGUCUGCAACUCGACUCCAUGAAGUCGGAAUCGCUAGUAAUCGUGGAUCAGAAUGCCACGGUGAAUACGUUCCCGGGCCUUGUACACACCGCCCGUCACACCAUGGGAGUGGGCUGCAAAAGAAGUGGGUAGUUUAACCUUCGGGAGGACGCUCACCACUUUGUGGUUCAUGACUGGGGUGAAGUCGUAACAAGGUAACCG